UACGGGGGGAGCAAGCGUUGUUCGGAUUUACUGGGCGUAAAGGGCGCGUAGGCGGUCGUGACAAGUCACUUGUGAAAUCUCCGGGCUUAACUCGGAAAGGUCAAGUGAUACUGUCGGACUAGAGUACAGAAGGGGCAACUGGAAUUCUCGGUGUAGCGGUGAAAUGCGUAGAUAUCGGAAGGAACAUCAGUGGCGAAAGCGGCUUCCUGGACCAGUACCGACGUUCAGGCACGAAAGCGUGGGGAGCAAACAGG
This 254-nucleotide ribosomal RNA is filed under the name uncultured bacterium. RNAcentral's name for it is "partial 16S ribosomal RNA". It matches the Rfam family "Bacterial small subunit ribosomal RNA", at positions 524 to 776 of the family's 1533-position model. The record is from RNAcentral.